GCUCCAGUAGUCUAGUGGUUAGGGCAUCCUCCUCGGAUGCGGGAGGUCGUAGGUUCGAUCCCUGGUCGAAUCA
Molecule: non-coding RNA, 73 nt
Organism: Potamilus streckersoni
Lineage: Eukaryota; Metazoa; Mollusca; Bivalvia; Unionida; Unionidae
Source: the annotation of a GenBank genome assembly